Cyprinus carpio (common carp) is the source of this 445-nucleotide long non-coding RNA. RefSeq lists it as uncharacterized. The record is from RefSeq and is a predicted model, not a curated record. The transcript is spliced from 4 exons. NCBI's taxonomy places the organism in Eukaryota, Metazoa, Chordata, Actinopteri, Cypriniformes, Cyprinidae.
GACAAGUUUAUAAUUUUAUGUACUAUGUAAAGGCUGUGUAAUGUGUUUGAUGGGCGCGCGCGUUGAACAUUCGAGGCGCAUUUAAACUGUGGAGGGAGUUACCAUGGAAACGGGGCGGCAACACAGCUGAGAAGUAGCAAAUCUCUCCGUCUCUCACUGUUGUUUUUACUGCUUUCAGAAAUGGUUCAGUGUCAUGGGAAUAAGUCCGUUAGCAUCACAAACCGUGAGCUAACAGAGGCUAACUAUAAGAGCAGAGUUGGAGCGGACCUCUUGUUGAAGAACUUCUCCAGGCACUAUGAACCAUAUGACUAAUGCUGUCAUGAAAAGGCAACUGGUGGACACCUGGGACAGGCCAUCAAUUCCAAGUUGGCGGAACUGAGGUUUCAACUGAAGAAAAAGGAGAGCCUGUUAGAGUUUAGAGUUGUCUAAUAGAGAGGGUGAAGGA